This 503-nucleotide ribosomal RNA is filed under the name Pediococcus parvulus. RNAcentral's name for it is "bacterial SSU rRNA". It matches the Rfam family "Bacterial small subunit ribosomal RNA", at positions 135 to 625 of the family's 1533-position model. The record is from RNAcentral. Lineage: Bacteria; Bacillati; Bacillota; Bacilli; Lactobacillales; Lactobacillaceae.
AGUGGGGGAUAACACCUGGAAACAGAUGCUAAUACCGCAUAACAAAGUAAACCGCAUGGUUUACUUUUAAAAGAUGGCUUUGGGUAUCAAUUUUGGAUGGACCCGGGGGGUAUUAGCUAGCUGGUGAGAUUAAGGCUCAACAAGGCAAUGAUACGUAGCCGUCCUGAGAGGGUAAUUGGCCACUUUGGGAGUGAGACACGGCCCAGGAUCCUUCGGGAGGCAGCCGUAGGGAAUUUUUCACAAUGGACGAAAGUUUGACGGAGCAACGCCGCCUGAGUGAUGAAGGCUUUAGGGUCGUAAAACUCUGUUGCUGGAGAAGAACGUGUGUGAGAGUAACUGCUCAUGCAGUGACGGUAUCCAACCAGAAAGCCACGGCUAAAUACGUGCCAGCAGCCGCGGUAAUACGUAGGUGGCAAGCGUUAUCCGGAUUUAUUGGGCGUAAAGCGAGCGCAGGCGGUCUUUUAAGUCUAAUGUGAAAGCCUUCGGCUAACCGAAGAAGUGCA